RNAcentral lists this ribosomal RNA (3120 nucleotides) under Triticum aestivum (bread wheat). RNAcentral describes it as "partial small subunit ribosomal RNA". Lineage: Eukaryota; Viridiplantae; Streptophyta; Magnoliopsida; Poales; Poaceae. The record is from RNAcentral.
AUGGCCCACGUUAAUGUCAACCUCAACUUCAACGCGUUCCUAGAGAAAACCAAGCUGAAAGACGAUGGUAGCAACUAUACGGACUGGGUCCGGAACUUGAGGAUUAUCCUCAUAGCUGCCAAGAAAGCAUAUGUCCUUGAAGCACCGCUAGGUGAAGCACCCGUCCCAGCAAACCAAGACGUUAUGAACGCUUGGCAAACACGUGUUGAUGAUUACUCCCUGGUUCAGUGCGGCAUGCUUUACAGCUUAGAACCGGGGCUCCAAAAGCGUUUCGAGCAGCACGGAGCAUCUGAGAUGUUCCAAGAGCUGAAAAUGGUUUUCCAAGCUCAUGCCCGGGUCGAGAGAUAUGAAGUCUCCGACAAGUUCUACAGUUGUAAGAUGGAGGAGAAUAGUUCCGUCAGCAAACACAUACUCAAAAUGUCUGGGAUGCACAACCGCUUGUCUCAGCUGGGAGUUAAUCUCCCGGAUGACGCGGUCGUUGACAGAAUCCUUCAGUCACUUCCACCUAGCUACAAGAGCUUUGUAAUGAACUUCAAUAUGCAGGGGAUGGAAAAGACCAUUCGUGAGGUAUCUUCAAUGCUGAAAUCAGCGGAGGUGGAGAUCAAAAAGGAACAUCAAGUAUUGAUGGUGAAUAAAACCACUAAGUUCAAGAAAGGCAAGGGUAAGAAGAACUUCAAGAAAGACGGCAAGGGAGUUGCCGCGCCCGGUAAGCAAGCUGCCGGGAAGAAGACAAAGAAUGGACCCAAGCCUGAGACUGAGUGCUUUUAUUGCAAGGGAAACGGUCACUGGAAGCGGAACUGCCCCAAGUACUUAGCGGAUAAGAAGGCCGGCAAUACCAAAGGUAUAUGUGAUAUACAUGUUAUUGAUGUGUACCUAACCAGCGCUCGUAGUAGCUCCUUGGUAUUUGAUACCAGUGCGGUUGCUCAUAUUUGUAACUCAAAGCAGGAACUGUGGAAUAAGCGGAGACUGGCGAAGGACGAGGUGACGAUGCGCGUCGGGAAUGGUUCCAAGGUCGAUGUGAUCGCCGUCGGCAUGCUACCUCUACAUUUACCUACGGGAUUAGUUUUAAACCUCAAUAAUUGUUAUUUAGUGCCAGCUUUGAGCACGAACAUUGUAUCUGGAUCUCGUUUGAUGCGAGAUGGCUACUCAUUUAAAUCCGAGAAUAAUGGUUGUUCUAUUUAUAUGAGAGAUAUGUUUUAUGGUCAUGCCCCGCUGGUCAAUGGUUUAUUCUUAAUGAAUCUCGAACGUGAUGUUACACAUAUUCAUAGUGUGAAUGCCAAGAAAUGUAAGGUUGAUAAUGAUAGUCCCACAUACUUGUGGCACUGCCGCCUUGGUCACAUUGGUCUCAAACACAUGAAGAAACUCCAUGCAGAUGGACUUUUGGAGUCUCUUGAUUAUGAAUCAUUUGACACGUGCGAACCAUGCCUCAUGGGAAAAAUGACCAAGACUCCGUUCUCCGGAACAAUGGAGCGAGCAACCAACUUAUUGGAAAUCAUACAUACUGAUGUGUGCGGUCCAAUGAGUGUUGAGGCUCGCAGUGGCUAUCGUUAUGUUCUCACCCUCACUGAUGACUUGAGUAGAUAUGGGUAUGUCUACUUAAUGAAACACAAGUCUGAGACUUUUGAAAAGUUCAAGGAAUUUCAGAGUGAGGCUGAAAAUCAACGUGACAGGAAAAUAAAGUUCUUACAAUCAGAUCGUGCAGGGGAAUAUUUGAGUCACGAAUUUGGCACACACUUAAGGGAAUGUGGAAUUGUUUCACAACUCACGCCGCCUGGAACACCUCAGCGUAAUGGUGUGUCCGAACGUCGUAAACGCACUCUAUUGGAUAUGGUGCGAUCUAUGAUGUCUCUUACCGAUCUACCGCUAUCAUUUUUGGGUUAUGCUUUAGAGACUGCCGCAUUCACUUUAAAUAGGGCUUCGUCGAAAUCCGUUGAGACGACACCGUAUGAAUUAUGGUUUGGAAAGAAACCUAAGCUGUCGUUUCUUAAAGUUUGGGGAUGCAAUGCUUAUGUCAAGAAACUUCAACCUGAAAAGCUCGAACCCAAGUCGGAAAAAUGCGUCUUCAUAGGAUACCCUAAGGAAACCAUUGGGUAUACCUUCUACCUCAGAUCCGAAGGCAAGAUCUUCAUUGCCAAGAACGGGUCCUUUCUGGAGAAAGAGUUUCUCUCGAAAGAAGUAAGUGGGAGGAAAGUGGAACUUGAUGAGAUGACCCCUCUCGAACCAGAAAGUAGCGCGGCACAAGAAAAUGUUUCUGUGGUGCCUACACCGACUAGAGAGGAAGUUAAUGAUGACAAUCAUGAUCAAGUUACCACUGAACUUCGUAGGUCCACAAGGACACGUUCCGCACCAGAGUGGUACGGCAACCCUGUCCUGGAAAUCAUGUUGUUGGACAACGGUGAACCUUCGUACUAUGAAGAAACAAUGGCGGGCCCAGAUUCCAACAAAUGGCUUGAAGCCAUGCAAUCCGAGAUAGGAUCCAUGUAUGAAAACAAAGUAUGGACUUUGACAGACUUGCCCGAUGAUCAUCGAGCGACAGAAAAUAAAUGGAUCUUUAAGAAGAAGACGUACGCGGAUGGAAAUGUUACCAUCUAUAAAGCUCGACUUGUCGCUAAGGGUUAUCGACAAGUUCAAGGAGUUGACUACGAUGAGACCUUCUCACCCGUAGCGAAGCUGAAGUCCGUCCGAAUCAUGUUAGCAAUUGCUGCAUUCUACGAUUAUGAAAUAUGGGAAAUGGACGUCAAAACGGCAUUCCUUAACGGCUUCCUUAAGGAAGAAUUGUAUAUGAUGCAGCCGGAAGGUUUUGUCGAUCCUAAGAAUGUUGACAAGGUAUGCAAGCUCCAGCGCUCAAUCUAUGGGCUGUUGCAGGCAUCUCGGAGUUGGAACAUUCGCUUUGAUGAGAUGAUCAAAGCGUUUGGGUUUACACAGACUUAUGGAGAAGCCUGUGUUUACAAGAAAGUGAGUGGGAGCUCUGUAGCAUUUCUCAUAUUAUAUGUGGAUGACAUACUAUUGAUGGGAAAUGAUAUAGAAUUCUUGGAAAGCAUAAAGGCCUACAUGAAUAAGUGUUUUUUUAAUGAAGGACCUUGGAGACGCUGCUUACAUAUUAGGCAUCAAGAUCUAUAG